This 425-nucleotide ribosomal RNA is filed under the name uncultured bacterium. Its description in RNAcentral is "partial 16S ribosomal RNA". It matches the Rfam family "Bacterial small subunit ribosomal RNA", at positions 354 to 796 of the family's 1533-position model. The record is from RNAcentral.
GUGGGGAAUAUUGGGCAAUGGGCGAAAGCCUGACCCAGCAACGCCGCGUGAAGGAAGAAGGUUUUCGGAUCGUAAACUUCUAUCCUUGGUGAAGAUAAUGACGGUAGCCAAGAAGGAAGCCCCGGCUAACUACGUGCCAGCAGCCGCGGUAAUACGUAGGGGGCAAGCGUUGUCCGGAAUGAUUGGGCGUAAAGGGCGCGUAGGCGGCCCGGUAAGUCUGAAGUGAAAGUCCUGCUUUUAAGGUGGGAAUUGCUUUGGAUACUGUCGGGCUUGAGUGCAGGAGAGGUAAGCGGAAUUCCCGGUGUAGCGGUGAAAUGCGUAGAGAUCGGGAGGAACACCAGUGGCGAAGGCGGCUUACUGGAAUGUAACUGACGCUGAGGCGCGAAAGUGUGAGGAGCAAACAGGAUUAGAAACCCCGGUAGUCC